Molecule: long non-coding RNA, 763 nt
Organism: Phacochoerus africanus (Common warthog)
Lineage: Eukaryota; Metazoa; Chordata; Mammalia; Artiodactyla; Suidae
Exons: 3
Source: RefSeq, a predicted model, not a curated record
GAAGAGGCAAUGGUGGCAGACAGGGAGCCGAUUCCAGGAAAGAAGGGCGCUUCGAGCAAACACGAGAGUGCCUUUAUGAGAGGUAAUUUACUGAAAUACACAGCGAUGGCCUGCUCAGCCAGCCCUGGUGUAAUUAAAAAUGGCAGGCCUGGGGCUCUGGCUUCCCCAGUGCUGGCCAAGGAAACUGGGCUUCAUCUUGUGACGCUUGAGGUUGGAUCCAGGGAUUGGCUUGGAGUCAGAGGUGAUCAGAGGGACCUCAGGAUAUUAUCAAGCCCUGGAAAUCAACUCCUGAGAAGAACAAAACAAUAGCAAGAGAAAAUAGACCCUGAAAAGAGGGGCAUGUGUAAUGGGUCUAGGCUUUUCCUGUUUUGGAACUUGAUGGAGGUUGGUUCGCAACAUGGUUACUGAGGGGUUAAAUGAGAAGAUGCAGAAGAGCCUGGCCCGGUGCCAGAUACACACUGACCCUCUUCCCAGAUGCCAGCGUGUCUCGCACCAGAUCAAGCUGGACUGAGUUCCCUCUCCACUCCACAAAGGGAAUUUGGAGUAACUUGCAAUGUCUUGCAUUACUGUGAAAACGGCAACUAACUCAUCAUUUUUCUGAAAGUCUAAAGAAAUUUCAAGUGGGAAACUUGUGCCAUCAGGAAAUGACAGGAAUUCAGUGGAGCUCAACUAAGUAAAAUGAAAAGAGGAGGGAAUCGAAAUGUCUGGAGGUAUUAAAAUUAUGCCCUGGAGUUCCCGUCAUGGCCCAGUGGUUAACGAAUCC